RNAcentral lists this ribosomal RNA (497 nucleotides) under uncultured bacterium. RNAcentral describes it as "partial 16S ribosomal RNA". It matches the Rfam family "Bacterial small subunit ribosomal RNA", at positions 28 to 507 of the family's 1533-position model. The record is from RNAcentral.
GACGAACGCUGGCGGCGUGCCUAAUACAUGCAAGUAGAACGCUGAAGAGAGGAGCUUGCUCUUCUUGGAUGAGUUGCGAACGGGUGAGUAACGCGUAGGUAACCUGCCUUGUAGCGGGGGAUAGCUAUUGGAAACGAUAGCUAAUACCGCAUAACAAUGGAUGACACAUGUCAUUUAUUUGAAAGGGGCAAUUGUUCCACUACAAGAUGGACCUGCGUUGUAUUAGCUAGUAGGUGAGGUAAUGGCUCACCUAGGCGACGAUACAUAGCCGACCUGAGAGGGUGAUCGGCCACACUGGGACUGAGACACGGCCCAGACUCCUACGGGAGGCAGCAGUAGGGAAUCUUCGGCAAUGGGGGCAACCCUGACCGAGCAACGCCGCGUGAGUGAAGAAGGUUUUCGGAUCGUAAAGCUCUGUUGUAAGUCAAGAACGGGUGUGAGAGUGGAAAGUUCACACUGUGACGGUAGCUUACCAGAAAGGGACGGCUAACUACGUG